AAUAGAUAGAUUAUAGAUAGAUAUAUCAGGAAAUUUCUCCCGCAAGACAUUUUGGUGAGAAUUUUUCUAGUCCAUUUGAACGUUAUCUCUAUUUCUUUUUGCACGAAUUUUGAACUACCCAGUCAUGCUCGUCAAAGUAGACGAAGUUACGAGAGCUGAUAUGUGAUUUUCUUCCUAAACAUGCUAUAUUGCUUUAUAUCUUUGUCAUUUUUGUCCUCCCAUAAGCUCUAGCUAGUAUCUUCCUCGUCAACUUCGCCCUAA
RNAcentral lists this long non-coding RNA (261 nucleotides) under Olea europaea (common olive). RNAcentral describes it as "long non-coding RNA (OEUR_LNC015132)". The record is from RNAcentral. Lineage: Eukaryota; Viridiplantae; Streptophyta; Magnoliopsida; Lamiales; Oleaceae.